GAGAGAGAGAGAGAGAGAAGCAGAUGGGGUGUGAGAGAAUUAAAUUGGCGUAGCAGAGGAGAGAGAAUGGCCAUGGCGGCGUUGCAGAGAAAGAGAGAGAAAGAAGAGCAGCAGAAGCAGCAUCGGCAGCUGUAAUUCUGUGUCCUGGAAUUAAAUGAAUCUACUCAAUUCCAACACUGUCAACUAAAAGGAAACCAACCCAAAGGAAACAAAGAAGUAGAGCAAGGAAUUGAAGGUCCGAUUAAUACUGGUCCUCAGCUCCUCCAUCCUUCAAAGCUGCCGAAUUACUACUAGUUGGCUGGCGCAAUUACCCUCGAAACCACCACUCCACCACCGCUACCAAGAACAAUAACAAGAACAAAACUAAUCAGCAACUGCUCGGUUGUUUAGAGACCAGAUAAAGUGAGGAGAGAGAAACAGACACUCACGGAUACAAUACACGUAUACAACACAAAAUACGAAGAGGAAACAAAUUGCAAGAAAAAUUCUCUCUCCCACUCAAAACCCAAAAUUCAAGAAAUUCGAGAGAAGAGACUACCCAUUUCAUAUCUGGGCUUUAUUCACAAGCCUAAAACCAGAGAGCUAGCUUCUGAUAUGGAUUUUCUCUCACAAUUGACGACUGGGUCAGGUUUAGAGAAGGAACAAUGGCUGGCCUGUUCUCACUAGGU
Molecule: unclassified non-coding RNA, 668 nt
Filed under: Hevea brasiliensis (rubber tree)
Lineage: Eukaryota; Viridiplantae; Streptophyta; Magnoliopsida; Malpighiales; Euphorbiaceae
Source: RNAcentral